GAAUAUUGGACAAUGGGGGCAACCCUGAUCCAGCCAUGCCGCGGGUGUGAAGAAGGUCUUCGGAUUGUAAAGCACUUUAAGUUGGGAGGAAGGGCCUUAGGUUAAUACCCUGAAGUUGUGACGCUACACACAGAAUAAACACCGCCUCACUCUGUGCCAGCAGCCGCGGUAAUAUAGAGUGUGCAAGCGUUAAUCGGAAUUACUGGGCGUAAAGCGCGCGUAGGUGGUUCAGUAAGAUGGGUGUGAAAUCCCCGGGCUUAACCUGGGAACUGCUUUCAUAACUGCUGAGCUAGAGUACGGGAGAGGGUAGUGGAAUUUCCUGUGUAGCGGUGAAAUGCGUAGAUAUAGGAAGGAACACCAGUGGCGAAGGCGACUACCUGGACUGAUACUGACACUGAGGUGCGAAAGCGUGGGGAGCA
Molecule: ribosomal RNA, 419 nt
Filed under: uncultured bacterium
Lineage: Bacteria
Description: partial 16S ribosomal RNA
Rfam family: Bacterial small subunit ribosomal RNA
Source: RNAcentral